AGGCAGAGAUGUGGAGUAAAGCCGAAUAAAAAAGGAUUGUUUGAACAUUUGCUAUAUUAAGACCAUGCAUGUGUCCCCAAACCUAGUUCUUUCCCUAGGUCUAGUUUUAUAAAUACUGUACUGGUGAUAGAA
This is a small nucleolar RNA of Molossus molossus (Pallas's mastiff bat), 132 nucleotides long. RefSeq annotates it as small nucleolar RNA SNORA72. The transcript has a single exon. The record is from RefSeq and is a predicted model, not a curated record. NCBI's taxonomy places the organism in Eukaryota, Metazoa, Chordata, Mammalia, Chiroptera, Molossidae.